GGCUACGUAGCUCAGUUGGUUAGAGCGCGGCACUCAUAAUGCCGAUGUCGCUAGUUCGAAUCUAGCCGUAGCCA
The sequence is a transfer RNA, 74 nucleotides long. It matches the Rfam family "tRNA". Rfam says of the family: Transfer RNA (tRNA) molecules are approximately 80 nucleotides in length. Their secondary structure includes four short double-helical elements and three loops (D, anti-codon, and T loops). The record is from Rfam.